GGACCCUGAAGGAGACAUUCGACAGGUUUGGAAAGGAUUGACCAUUAUUGAAUUCGUUCAAGAAAGAGUGAUCUGCAUGAGAUAGCCCCUGCUAAAAAGGCAGCAGAAAAGGCUGUGCAGUAUCCAGAAGGGAAGUCUAGUAUUGGAGAAUGAAGACCUUACUAAACUACGGGAACCCAAAGGAUUGAGUAAAGUUGAAGUCGUUUGGCGGUUUUAUAAAGGAUCGACCUUAUUGAAUCUUCGUUCAGGAAUAGUGGCCUGCAUCUGAAACGACUCCUGCAAGAUCAGGAACGUUUAUGCAGAGUUCACCCUCCAGGAAAAAGAAAAUGCUUGAAUGAGAAACGUCUCCACCAAUUUAUGAUUGGAAAUCAAACUUUUCCUGGGAAAAUUGGAAUUCCAGAAACGCUUCUCCAAGCAGAACCAAUUGACCUCUUCCGGCUGUUUGCAACAGAACAUGAUUCUUACUGUCAGGCAGCUCUGGCAUACGGGAGGCCAAGCACAAUCCUGAUUUGAUGGAGACAGCCGUGAGAAGCACGGAGGAACACCUGGAGUAACUUCUGAAAUGCCCGCUUCGCUGCCGCUGCUACUGCGCGAUCGAGAAUCUCCGGAGGGGAAGGCCCCAAAUCCUC
Long non-coding RNA from Mobula hypostoma (lesser devil ray), 629 nucleotides. RefSeq lists it as uncharacterized. The transcript is spliced from 4 exons. Lineage: Eukaryota; Metazoa; Chordata; Chondrichthyes; Myliobatiformes; Myliobatidae. The record is from RefSeq and is a predicted model, not a curated record.